RNAcentral lists this transfer RNA (93 nucleotides) under Sphingomicrobium lutaoense. RNAcentral describes it as "tRNA-Ser". It matches the Rfam family "tRNA". Rfam says of the family: Transfer RNA (tRNA) molecules are approximately 80 nucleotides in length. Their secondary structure includes four short double-helical elements and three loops (D, anti-codon, and T loops). The record is from RNAcentral. Lineage: Bacteria; Pseudomonadati; Pseudomonadota; Alphaproteobacteria; Sphingomonadales; Sphingomicrobiaceae.
GGAGACGUGGGUGAGUGGCUGAAACCACCGGUUUGCUAAACCGGCGUGCGGCUAAUUGUCGUACCGAGGGUUCGAAUCCCUCCGUCUCCGCCA